Molecule: ribosomal RNA, 440 nt
Filed under: uncultured bacterium
Lineage: Bacteria
Description: partial 16S ribosomal RNA
Rfam family: Bacterial small subunit ribosomal RNA
Source: RNAcentral
CCUACGGGUGGCAGCAGUGGGGGAUAUUGCACAAUGGGGGGAACCCUGAUGCAGCGACGCCGCGUGGGUGAAGGAGCGUUUCGGCGCGUAAAGCCCUAUCGGCAGGGAAGAAGGAGGACGGUACCUGACUAAGAAGCCCCGGCUAACGACGUGCCAGCAGCCGCGGUAAUACGUAGGGGGCAAGCGUUAUUCGGAUUUAUUGGGUUAAAAGGGUGCGUAGGCGGUCCGGAAAGUCAGCGGUAAAAGCCCGGGGAUCAACCCCGGCGAGCCGUUGAAACUGUCGGACUAGAGACGGCGAGAAGUACGCGGAAUGCGAGGUGUAGCGGUGAAAUGCAUAGAUAUCGCGCAGAACUCCGAUUGCGAAGGCAGCGUACCGGCGCCGGACUGACGCUGAGGCACGAAAGCGUGGGUAUCGAACAGGAUUAGAUACCCGAGUAGUC